This 636-nucleotide ribosomal RNA is filed under the name Triticum aestivum (bread wheat). Its description in RNAcentral is "partial small subunit ribosomal RNA". The record is from RNAcentral. Lineage: Eukaryota; Viridiplantae; Streptophyta; Magnoliopsida; Poales; Poaceae.
AUGGAGGAGCCGAUGUCCAGGCUCACCCCCGACCUAAUCGUGGAGAUCCUCGGUCGGGUGCCCUACAAAUCACUCUGCAUCUGCAAGCGCGUCUGCCCGGCCUGGCGCGACCUCAUCGCCGACCCCGCCAACCGGAAGAAGGUUGUGCAGUCGCUGGCCGGCUUCUUCUACCACACCACCGACGGAGCCACGGCCGACUCCGCCGAGCGCCGCGGCCACGCCGUCAACUACGCCGACCUGUCCGCCUCCCCUUGGUCCCACAUCCCCCCGACCCACCCGCGCCUGCCACUGCCGCCCGACUGCGCGGACCGCUUCUUCUCCGUCGAGGACUCCCGCGAUGGAUUGUUUCUUAGCCGCAUUCGCACGGGCGCCCCCGCCGGAAAUUUUCGGUACAUGGUCUCCAACCCAGCUACCAGUGAGUACACUCUGCUGCCUCACUCUGGCUACGAUGGUCGCCGCUGCGCCUCUUACUUGGGUUUCGACAGCAUUGUGUCCACCGAGGAGUUCCAUGUGUUCGAGUUUGUGCUGGAAUCGCUGACCCAGGAUUGGGUUGUGACUUGUGAGAGGGGUGAGGAUUUACUCCUCAAAGACUGGUGCGUGGGUGGCAAUGAAACCCCAAUGGCACAUCAAAGUUAG